AGGCCUGUAGCUCUAACUGGCAGAGCAACGGUCUCCAAAACCGUGGGUUGUAGGUUCGAAUCCUACCAGGCCUGCUA
This 77-nucleotide transfer RNA is filed under the name hydrothermal vent metagenome. RNAcentral describes it as "tRNA-Trp-CCA". It matches the Rfam family "tRNA". Rfam says of the family: Transfer RNA (tRNA) molecules are approximately 80 nucleotides in length. The record is from RNAcentral.